GGGCCCGCACAAGCGGUGGAGUAUGUGGUUUAAUUCGAUGCAACGCGAAGAACCUUACCAGGGCUUGACAUCCUGCGAACCUCUGGGAAACCGGAGGGUGCCUUCGGGAACGCAGUGACAGGUGGUGCAUGGCUGUCGUCAGCUCGUGUCGUGAGAUGUUGGGUUAAGUCCCGCAACGAGCGCAACCCACGUCGUUAGUUGCCAGCAUUUAGUUGGGCACUCUAGCGAGACCGCCGGUGAUAAACCGGAGGAAGGUGUGGAUGACGUCAAGUCAUCAUGCCCCUUACAUCCUGGGCUACACACGUACUACAAUGCUACGGACAAAGGGCAGCAAACUCGCGAGAGCUAGCAAAUCCCAUAAAGUGCGUCGUAGUCCGGAUCGGAGUCUGCAACUCGACUCCGUGAAGUCGGAAUCGCUAG
RNAcentral lists this ribosomal RNA (420 nucleotides) under uncultured bacterium. RNAcentral describes it as "bacterial SSU rRNA". It matches the Rfam family "Bacterial small subunit ribosomal RNA", at positions 917 to 1338 of the family's 1533-position model. The record is from RNAcentral.